RNAcentral lists this ribosomal RNA (1398 nucleotides) under uncultured bacterium. Its description in RNAcentral is "bacterial SSU rRNA". It matches the Rfam family "Bacterial small subunit ribosomal RNA". The record is from RNAcentral.
AGAGUUUGAUCCUGGCUCAGAUUGAACGCUGGCGGCAGGCCUAACACAUGCAAGUCGAGCGGUAGCACAGAGAGCUUGCUCUCGGGUGACGAGCGGCGGACGGGUGAGUAAUGUCUGGGAAACUGCCUGAUGGAGGGGGAUAACUACUGGAAACGGUAGCUAAUACCGCAUAAUGUCGCAAGACCAAAGUGGGGGACCUUCGGGCCUCAUGCCAUCAGAUGUGCCCAGAUGGGAUUAGCUAGUAAGUGGGGUAAUGGCUCACCUAGGCGACGAUCCCUAGCUGGUCUGAGGGGAUGACCAGCCACACUGGAACUGAGACACGGUCCAGACUCCUACGGGAGGCAGCAGUGGGGAAUAUUGCACAAUGGGCGCAAGCCUGAUGCAGCCAUGCCGCGUGUGUGAAGAAGGCCUUCGGGUUGUAAAGCACUUUCAGCGGGGAGGAAGGCGUUAAGGUUAAUAACCUUGGCGAUUGACGUUACCCGCAGAAGAAGCACCGGCUAACUCCGUGCCAGCAGCCGCGGUAAUACGGAGGGUGCAAGCGUUAAUCGGAAUUACUGGGCGUAAAGCGCACGCAGGCGGUCUGUCAAGUCGGAUGUGAAAUCCCCGGGCUCAACCUGGGAACUGCAUUCGAAACUGGCAGGCUAGAGUCUUGUAGAGGGGGGUAGAAUUCCAGGUGUAGCGGUGAAAUGCGUAGAGAUCUGGAGGAAUACCGGUGGCGAAGGCGGCCCCCUGGACAAAGACUGACGCUCAGGUGCGAAAGCGUGGGGAGCAAACAGGAUUAGAUACCCUGGUAGUCCACGCCGUAAACGAUGUCGAUUUGGAGGUUGUGCCCUUGAGGCGUGGCUUCCGGAGCUAACGCGUUAAAUCGACCGCCUGGGGAGUACGGCCGCAAGGUUAAAACUCAAAUGAAUUGACGGGGGCCCGCACAAGCGGUGGAGCAUGUGGUUUAAUUCGAUGCAACGCGAAGAACCUUACCUGGUCUUGACAUCCACAGAACUUUCCAGAGAUGGAUUGGUGCCUUCGGGAACUGUGAGACAGGUGCUGCAUGGCUGUCGUCAGCUCGUGUUGUGAAAUGUUGGGUUAAGUCCCGCAACGAGCGCAACCCUUAUCCUUUGUUGCCAGCGGUUCGGCCGGGAACUCAAAGGAGACUGCCAGUGAUAAACUGGAGGAAGGUGGGGAUGACGUCAAGUCAUCAUGGCCCUUACGACCAGGGCUACACACGUGCUACAAUGGCAUAUACAAAGAGAAGCGACCUCGCGAGAGCAAGCGGACCUCAUAAAGUAUGUCGUAGUCCGGAUUGGAGUCUGCAACUCGACUCCAUGAAGUCGGAAUCGCUAGUAAUCGUAGAUCAGAAUGCUACGGUGAAUACGUUCCCGGGCCUUGCACACACCGCCCGUC